CUAUGCGCCUUGCCAGCCCGCUCAGUCAGAGUUUGAUCCUGGCUCAGGAUGAACGCUAGCGGGAGGCCUAACACAUGCAAGCCGAGGGGUAUGAUUCUUUCGGGGAUCGGAGACCGGCGCACGGGUGCGUAACGCGUAUGUAACUUACCCCAUUCACUGGGAUAGCCCUUCGAAAGGAGGAUUAAUACCGGAUAACACUAAGGUGGGCAUCCACUUUGGUUGAAAGAUUUAUCGGAAUGGGAUAGACAUGCGUCAGAUUAGCUAGUUGGAGAGGUAACGGCUCACCAAGGCGAUGAUCUGUAGGGGGCCUGAGAGGGUGACCCCCCACACUGGUACUGAGACACGGACCAG
This 351-nucleotide ribosomal RNA is filed under the name uncultured bacterium. RNAcentral's name for it is "bacterial SSU rRNA". It matches the Rfam family "Bacterial small subunit ribosomal RNA", at positions 1 to 334 of the family's 1533-position model. The record is from RNAcentral.